ACGCGCGGAUCCUCCGAGACUGUCGCAUAGUCUCCUUCCGCGAGGAUCUCCCCGCGCUGCAGGACCGUGACGUGGUGGCAGAGCGUCGCGACGACCGAGAGAUUGU
This 106-nucleotide small RNA is filed under the name Sinorhizobium meliloti 2011. RNAcentral describes it as "putative ncRNA". Lineage: Bacteria; Pseudomonadati; Pseudomonadota; Alphaproteobacteria; Hyphomicrobiales; Rhizobiaceae. The record is from RNAcentral.